GCAGAAUAGAAAAUUUUAUUAAUUAGUCAUAAAUAGUUUCUGGAAAAAAAAUCUUCAGUAAAUUAAUUAAGGAUAUCUUUCAAUCCUGAAGAAUAUUAGAAUGCAGUGCACUUGUAUGGUUGGAUGGAACAUACACUUUUGAACCUAGAAAAUAUCUGAGCUGAAAAGGUAGAGGAUAAAGUCUAGGAAAAGUCUAUGCAGAUUCCAACCUUGAAUCUUCCCACAAGUCCUUGGACAAACGGUAAGAAUCUACCCUUCUUCCCAUUAAUUAAAGCAAGCCUAAAUUGCAGGCACAUAAUUUAAAAAAGGAAUAUUCGCACGAUAAAGAAUUGUAAAACGAACACGCGAGAGGUCCUUUUGUUCCACCACGCAACGAAGUGAAAACGAAGAAUAAGGUCAAGGGGUGAGAGGCUCGAACAGGAAAGCAAUUUACAACACACCGUUGCAGCCUGCAGUUCAGCGAGUGAAAGUCGAUGAUUGCGAUGAAUCGUAUAAUCAUUUUUCAUGCAACCAGAUAGAACGGAUUUGGUGUAAAGUUCAGCACGAAAGGUAUUCCACGAGUUUCGCAUCCCUGGAUCCUUGCUAUUUUAUUCUGGAAACUGGAUACACCAUAUUACCUGCGGUUAAACGGGGCUGUGCCGUGGACACGGCGGUGUAACAUAGAUGGAUCACAAGGACACGAGUACCUGAGGAAACGUACACGCAGAACGUGGUAUCAGAGGAAAGCUUCAGAUCCAUUUGCAGGAUUGAAUAACACACUUUUUGCUACUAUUCCUUGCUUAUAGAAAAGAAAUUUAAUUCCCACAAUGUGGCACGACGAUAGCAGGAAUACAGCUUCAAUGUUAUGAUAACCGGGAAUAACAGGAUAAAUGGAUCUAGAUAUAAAUAUAGAUUUAGAGAUGAGGAAGGUAGAGAUUUAGGGUUGUAGAAAAUUUUAAUAUAGAUCUUGUAUUUGAUGUUUAAUCUUCUGAUGUUGCUGUUAAUGGCAGUAUGUCUACAUGACUAGUCUGACAAGAAAAUUACUAUGAAACAGUUUUGGUAGUUGUGAUGACUUAUGGUUAUCAUUUAUAGUGACUACAGAACGCUAAAUAUUUAAAGUAUGUACUAUAACGUGUAAGCAUUGCUCACAAGACUAUUAGAUAGCUAUUUAUAACACAUUCGUAACGAUUACAUAAAGCUGAGUUAUUAAAAUGUCCUACAUAUUGGAAUUCUAAGCUGAUAGGUAAUUAUUUCAGAGGGUUUCAAGAACAUCGGAAAGGAUUCUAAAAGCUGUGACCUAGUUUAGCCAUUCUAAUCAUCCAACAUUAAUUCCACGAAGUCAAUGUAGGACGACUUAGAUGAGGAACUAGAUCGUGUCCAUCGGUGAAACUGUCUUCGAAGAAUCUCAAGGAUUGCGUUAGAUCAAUGGUUUCGUUUUGUCAUUAAACGAGACAAUUGAAUAAAUAAUUCCUUCAAACGACUGACAUGGUACUAGGAAAAAGGACUCUCGCUAUAUUGCCGCCGACUUGAGGUAGUAGAUAUAUUCCUAAUUAAUACAAGACGAAAGAAAUUGAAUUUUCAAUUCAAUUGUAUAUUUUAUAUUCGUUUCAAUAAAUCUGUAGGAUCGCAGUGUAUUAAAUCAUCCACAUUUUCGCUGUGUCGGGUGCAAGCAACAAUUUUUGCGUAACGCCGUAGAAUUUAUGAAAACAGGACAGAAUUUAUGCAGUGCAUUUAAACGAAACCCAGGGAAAUCUCGUCCCAACUCGUGCUGAAUUAUUAAGCGAAAUUAAAUUUGGUUCAUACCGGUUAGAAUAUUAAUCAAUGGGGUUUAACGCUCAGUUGUUCGGUAAUUAAAUACCCUAGAGAACCGAAACGCAGGGUUUAUUCGAUCGAUAAUGUUGGUACAUUGUUUCAUAGUCAUUUUAAGUAUAAUUAAUAAUAUAACAGUGCAAUCGUAAAGUUGUGCUAUUUACUGUGGUCAUAAACUUGCACUCGGGUAGAAUAUAAAAACCAUGACGGAAUUAAUAUAUAAAAUGAGCGGAUUAAUUAAUACAAUAUUUUCACCCUACAUUUGAUUAGCCCCAUAAAAGGCGUACGUGUCAAUAUAUCCUAACGGACGAAGUAACGCGAGCAGAGGUGAACGCCUGAAAUUGGACACCGGUAAUUACGAUAGGCCGCUUUUAUCGUUGCAUUUCGCCCCGGUUCUACGUGAACGGAAAUUACACCCUCGUAUGGCGCAUCCACGGUUCGUCCUUGCUAGCCACGCGAAUUACCAGGGAUGUUUGCUCAGAGGGACGAUAUACCGCGAGUGUGUGGAACGAACGCUUUGGGGAAAAAAUUCGAACGGAAUGGCGUUGUCGGUUAUAUACCUAGCGGCUAUAUUUGAGUUCACUGACACUUUCGAGCACGCGCGAUAGAUACCGCUUUCGUCUGCUUUCGUGCACGUGUAUUCGUGUUCUUGUUGCCACCGUAUUGGGAGCAUUCUAACAGUAUCGUAAUCAUGGUUAGGCAUAUCUCAUUCGCGCUGCUAACGAGGGAAGCACCUGCAUUGUCCAACUUCGAUUUCGAUCGAUUUUUGUCGGAUGACGACAAAUACAUACCGGGCAUGCAUUUAGAAGCCUUGCUAUGCAACAAGAAACUAGUACAUGUGUUUUUUUUUACUCAUUACGCGUUAAUCACUGCAGUCAUUCGUAAUUGGCGCGAAAUUGUUUUCGUACGUACUUUUCGGUGAUCUUCGGAAAUGUUCGGAUUCUUUCGUUAGCAAUAGCCUGCACUUCGCGCUUUUUUACAUAUAAAAAAAUAAUAGAACAUAAAAGAUAGAAAAGUUAGAAUAUAAAUAUCCUGAGGAAAUCUAGGAAUCUAGAGGAUGUAAGUAGUCGCCCUAUCUUUCCUUAAAUCCGUCACUGGCAGACAGUACAUUUAAAUUUGAAGCGUGAACAUGAAAUUGGAAUAAUUUAGAAACGAUUUAUUUACAUACUGACGUAUUUUACGUAUGCGAUCUGAUCAUGUAUUUUUAGAAACGACCGUAAACUACUCGACAUGAUACACACAUACUGUAAAAAUGGGGAACGGUAUAAUUUUAUCGUCAAUUCGAUAGAGUUCUCAGAAGGCCGCUAUGAAACCGGUUUGCAGCGAACGGUAUGGUGUAUAAGACCAUAUAAAUGCAUCCCUGUCCAAGAUCCUUUUGUGUCAAAAUUUUGGUGCUUAAUUAAGACGCCUCGUGUUACGUUAACCUUUUUUUUCAUGUUAAUUUUAAUUCAUUGUCAUAAAAACAGAUGUUUUGUUUACAAACGCCGUGAUAAUACUCGAUGAAUAUUAAUUCGAAUAUUUAAAAUAAAUAAUUUUAUUACGCCAUUUAAUGAAUUUAUUAUGAUUGCAUCUGCUUUAAAAACUUCACAGAAAUGUAUUACCAAUCGAGUAUUUCCUGGGUCGUGACCUCGAUAUGAAAUACAUAUGUAUAUUACAUUUACAUGUUUAAUUCAACAUGCAUACAGUGCUGUCUUUAAACUUUGCAGUGCCCGACGCAGAAAUCAGUAUUAUUGAGA
Molecule: long non-coding RNA, 3524 nt
Organism: Megachile rotundata (alfalfa leafcutting bee)
Lineage: Eukaryota; Metazoa; Arthropoda; Insecta; Hymenoptera; Megachilidae
Source: RefSeq, a predicted model, not a curated record